This is a long non-coding RNA of Triticum aestivum (bread wheat), 862 nucleotides long. RefSeq lists it as uncharacterized. The transcript has 2 exons. The record is from RefSeq and is a predicted model, not a curated record. NCBI's taxonomy places the organism in Eukaryota, Viridiplantae, Streptophyta, Magnoliopsida, Poales, Poaceae.
GAUCGAUCGAGGAAGCAAGCAGCUGCACCCAAACCCUAGCCGACGCCCCCUCCUCCUCCUCCGGAUUCUUGCGGCGUGCGAUGUGCCGGUGCCAUGGCGCUGCGCUCUCCCUCCAGCACUUCGAGGCGGACUCUGGGACCCCGUUAUUCGCCGCCGGCGGACUCUCUGCCUCCCACCUCUCAGUGGUUUUUGCUACCGAGUUCUUUGCUGGAUCAUGGCAGUGCUAGUCGAUGGUGGUGGUGAGCCGAAGCCGCCGACACGAGAAUUUUUUCUACAACCAUGACGACUGUGGGAUGGAACCGGUCAACAGUAGAAGCUGACACACAAUCUGCGGCGGUGCUGCAAUCCCGGUGGCCGUGAGACGAGGGACGGCAAGCUGACAACAGCAUCAGUCCCGCCGGGGCUGCCGACGCCGACGAAUGCGUUUACCGCAUCUAGCGAAGGAGCAACACGACAGAGGAGGCGUGGUCUGGUGGCGACUACGCACUUUCCAGGGAUGGGACCCAAUAGAGGAGGCGUGGUCUGGUGAUGACUAUGCAUUUUCUAGUGGUGGGAGAUUAGAGGACCAGAUCUGACGGUUAGGGAGAAAAGAAUCGAAUGGACAGGGUAUGACCGGCCGAACUACUGGGCCGGUGCGCCGGCGCAGAUCACUCGCCAAUAAUUUAUGUGCUAUACCGGGGAUUUUGGCAGCUUGAUGUAACUCUUACUGUUAACUCCAUGUGCUGUUCUAAGCUGCAUGGAGCAGGUGCUUUGUUAAGUACUGCAUGUUAAUUAGUGUUUGGUAAUUGAAUCUGGUCUGCGUGUUCAUUAUCUAUGGAUUGUCUGUGAUAAUUUAUAGAAUAAUUCAUGGUAUGACACUUAA